Molecule: long non-coding RNA, 638 nt
Organism: Alosa alosa (allis shad)
Lineage: Eukaryota; Metazoa; Chordata; Actinopteri; Clupeiformes; Clupeidae
Exons: 4
Source: RefSeq, a predicted model, not a curated record
GCGCCAUGUAAGGCGAUCACCGCUGGGAGUCAUCGUCGGUGCUGGAGCGGGAGGAGCGCGAGCGCCUGUUUAACGAGCACGUGGAGGCGCUCGCCAAGAAGAAGAAGGAGCUCUUCAGGCAGCUGCUCGACGACACACACACCAUCACUCUGACCACCUCAUGGAAGGAAGUGAAAAAACUCAUAAAGGAGGAUCCCCGUUGCAUCAAGUUCUCCAGCAGUGACCGGAAGCGCCAGCGAGAGUUUGAGGACUACAUCAGAGAUAAAUACGUAACGGCCAAAGCUGAUUUCAGAACACUCCUCAAGGAAACCAAGUUCAUCACCUACAGAUCCCGUAACUUGUUGCAGGAGUCGGAUCAGCACCUGCGGGACCUGGAGAACGUUCUGGAGAACGACCGGCGCUACCUGGUUCUAGAUUGUGUUCCAGAGGAACGGCACAAGCUGCUCAUGUCCUACAUCAGCGAGCUAGAACGCCGCGGACCCCCACCACCCCCCACAGCUUCGGAACCCACGCGACGCUCCACAAAAUAACACACGCACACACACCUGCCUCUCUAGAUUAGACCUGCACACACACGCGCACACACACACACACACACGCACACACACCUGCCUCACAAGAUUAGACCUGCACACACA